AUUGAACGCUGGCGGCAUGCCUUACACAUGCAAGUCGAACGGUAGAGUAGCAAUACUCGAGAGUGGCGAACGGGUGAGUAACAUAUCGGAACGUGCCCAAUCGUGGGGGAUAACGUAGAGAAAUUUACGCUAAUACCGCAUACGAUCUAAGGAUGAAAGCGGGGGAUCGCAAGACCUCGCGCGAUUGGAGCGGCUGAUAUCAGAUUAGGUUGUUGGUGAGGUAAAAGCUCACCAAGCCGACGAUCUGUAGCUGGUUUGAGAGAACGACCAGCCACACUGGGACUGAGACACGGCCCAGACUCCUACGGGAGGCAGCAGUGGGGGAAUUUUUGGGACAAUGGGCGAAAGCCUGAUCCAGCAAUGCCGCGUGCAGGAUGAAGGCCCUCGGGUUGUAAACUGCUUUUGUACGGAACGAAAGGUUUGUCUUAAUACGAUGAGCUCAUGACGGUACCGUAAGAAUAAGCACCGGCUAACUACGUGCCAGCAG
This 487-nucleotide ribosomal RNA is filed under the name uncultured bacterium. RNAcentral's name for it is "bacterial SSU rRNA". It matches the Rfam family "Bacterial small subunit ribosomal RNA", at positions 30 to 514 of the family's 1533-position model. The record is from RNAcentral.